RNAcentral lists this ribosomal RNA (1447 nucleotides) under metagenome. RNAcentral describes it as "bacterial SSU rRNA". It matches the Rfam family "Bacterial small subunit ribosomal RNA". The record is from RNAcentral.
AGAGUUUGAUCCUGGCUCAGGAUAAACGCUGGCGGCGCACAUAAGACAUGCAAGUCGAACGAACUUAACCAUUAGUUUACUAUUGGAGCGGUUAGUGGCGGACUGGUGAGUAACACGUAAGCAACCUGCCUAUCAGAGGGGAACAACAGUUAGAAAUGACUGCUAAUACCGCAUACACCAUUAAAAGGACAUCCUUAUAAUGGGAAAGAAGCAAUUCGCUGAUAGAUGGGCUUGCGUCUGAUUAGAUAGUUGGUGGGGUAAAGGCCUACCAAGUCGACGAUCAGUAGCCGGACUGAGAGGUUGAACGGCCACAUUGGGACUGAGGUACGGCCCAGACUCCUACGGGAGGCAGCAGUCGGGAAUAUUGCGCAAUGGAGGAAACUCUGACGCAGUGACGCCGCGUGCAGGAAGAAGGUUUUCGGAUUGUAAACUGCUUUAGACAGGGAAGAAACAAGACAGUACCUGUAGAAUAAGCUCCGGCUAACUACGUGCCAGCAGCCGCGGUAAUACGUAGGGAGCAAGCGUUAUCCGGAUUUAUUGGGUGUAAAGGGUGCGUAGACGGGAAGACAAGUUAGUUGUGAAAUCCCUCGGCUCAACUGAGGAACUGCAACUAAAACUAUCUUUCUUGAGUGCUGGAGAGGAAAGUGGAAUUCCUAGUGUAGCGGUGAAAUGCGUAGAUAUUAGGAGGAACACCAGUGGCGAAGGCGACUUUCUGGACAGUAACUGACGUUGAGGCACGAAAGUGUGGGGAGCAAACAGGAUUAGAUACCCUGGUAGUCACACCGUAAACGAUGGAUACUAGGUGUAGGGGAUGAAUAAUCUUCUGUGCCGUCGCAAACGCAGUAAGUAUCCCACCUGGGGAGUACGGCCGCAAGGUUGAAACUCAAAGGAAUUGGCGGGGGCCCGCACAAGCAGUGGAGUAUGUGGUUUAAUUCGACGCAACGCGAAGAACCUUACCAGGGCUUGACAUAUAGAGGAAUACAUAAGAGAUUAUAUAGCUCUUCGGAGUCUCUAUACAGGUGGUGCAUGGUUGUCGUCAGCUCGUGUCGUGAGAUGUUGGGUUAAGUCCCGCAACGAGCGCAACCCCUGUUCUUAGUUGCCAGCACGUAGAGGUGGGAACUCUAAGAAGACUGCCGGUGAUAAAUCGGAGGAAGGUGGGGACGACGUCAAAUCAUCAUGCCCUUUAUGUCCUGGGCUACACACGUACUACAAUGGCUAUAACAAAGGGAAGCGAAGCCGCGAGGUGGAGCAAAACUCAAAAAAGUAGUCUCAGUUCGGAUUGAAGGCUGAAAUUCGCCUUCAUGAAGCCGGAAUUGCUAGUAAUGGCAGGUCAGCAUACUGCCGUGAAUACGUUCCCGGGCCUUGUACACACCGCCCGUCACACCAUGAGAGUUGGGAAUACCCGAAGCCUGUGAGCUAACUGUAGAGGGGCAGCAGUCGAAGGUAG